This 1325-nucleotide ribosomal RNA is filed under the name uncultured bacterium. RNAcentral describes it as "bacterial SSU rRNA". It matches the Rfam family "Bacterial small subunit ribosomal RNA", at positions 28 to 1392 of the family's 1533-position model. The record is from RNAcentral.
GAUGAAUGCUGGCGGCGUGCCUAACACAUGCAAGUCGAGCGGCAGCGCGGGUAGUUUACUACCUGGCGGCGAGCGGCGGACGGCUGAGUAACGCGUGGGAACGUGCCCCAAAGUGAGGAAUAACUGCCCGAAAGGGUGGCUAAUGCCGCAUAUGAUCUUCGGAUUAAAGUCUUCGGACGCUUUGGGAGCGGCCCGCGUCGGAUUAGGUAGUUGGUAGGGUAAUGGCCUACCAAGCCGACGAUCCGUAGCUGGUCUGAGAGGAUGAUCAGCCAGACUGGAACUGAGACACGGUCCAGACUCCUACGGGAGGCAGCAGUGAGGAAUCUUCCACAAUGGGCGAAAGCCUGAUGGAGCAACGCCGCGUGCAGGAUGAAGGCCUUCGGGUUGUAAACUGCUUUUAUAAGUGAAGAAUAUGACGGUAACUUAUGAAUAAGCACCGGCUAACUACGUGCCAGCAGCCGCGGUCAUACGUAGGGUGCAAGCAUUAUCCGGAGUGACUGGGCGUAAAGAGUUGCGUAGGUGGUUUGUUAAGUAGGUAGUGAAAUCUGGCGGCUCAACCGUACAGGCUAUUACCUAAACUGGCAAACUCGAGAAUGGUAGAGGUAACUGGAAUUUCUUGUGUAGGAGUGAAAUCCGUAGAUAUAAGAAGGAACACCCAAUGGCGUAGGCAGGUUACUGGACCAUUUCUGACACUGAGGCACGAAAGCGUGGGGAGCGAACGGGAUUAGAUACCCCGGUAGUCCACGCCGUAAACGAUGGAUACUAGCUGUUGGAGGUAUCGACCCCUCCAGUAGCGAAGCUAACGCGUUAAGUAUCCCGCCUGUGGAGUACGGUCGCAAGACUAAAACAUAAAGGAAUUGACGGGGACCCGCACAAGCGGUGGAUUGUGUUCUUUAAUUCGAUGAUAAACGAAGAACCUUACCAGGGUUUGACAUCCCUUGAAUUAUGCCGAAAGGCGUGAGUGCUUUAUUGAACAAGGUGACAGGUGAUGCAUGGCCGUCGUCAGCUCGUGUCGUGAGAUGUUUGGUUAAGUCCAUCAACGAGCGCAACCCUUGUCUUCAGUUGGAUUUUUCUGAAGAGACUGCCCCGGCAACGGGGAGGAAGGAGGGGAUGAUGUCAGGUCAGUAUUUCCCUUACAUCCUGGGCUAGAAACGCAAUACAAUGGCUAGUACAAUGCGCAGCGAAGCCGCGAGGUGAAGCAAAUCGCAUCAAAGCUAGUCCCAGUUCGGAUAAGAGGCUGAAACUCGCCUCUUUGAAGUCGGAAUCGCUAGUAAUCGCAGAUCAGCAAGCUGCGGUGAAUACGUUCCCGGGUCUUGUACUCACCG